UGGCUUAGUGGUAAAGCGCUCGGCUUCCAAACCAGAGGUCCAGGGUUCGAAUCCUGG
Molecule: transfer RNA, 57 nt
Filed under: Biomphalaria glabrata
Lineage: Eukaryota; Metazoa; Mollusca; Gastropoda; Planorbidae
Rfam family: tRNA
About the family: Transfer RNA (tRNA) molecules are approximately 80 nucleotides in length. Their secondary structure includes four short double-helical elements and three loops (D, anti-codon, and T loops). Further hydrogen bonds mediate the characteristic L-shaped molecular structure. tRNAs have two regions of fundamental functional importance: the anti-codon, which is responsible for specific mRNA codon recognition, and the 3' end, to which the tRNAs corresponding amino acid is attached (by aminoacyl-tRNA synthetases). tRNAs cope with the degeneracy of the genetic code in two manners: having more than one tRNA (with a specific anti-codon) for a particular amino acid; and 'wobble' base-pairing, i.e. permitting non-standard base-pairing at the 3rd anti-codon position.
Source: Rfam by way of RNAcentral